UUGAUUCUGCCUGACGUGGACGCUUGCCUUGAAGAUUAAGCCAUGCAAGCUUGUGAAGAACUGGAACAGUGAACGGCUCAGUAUAACAGGCUUUAUCUACCCACUUGUGAUCAUAACCACGGGAAACUGUGGCUAAUUUAGUGGAUGAGAGCCUGACCUAUCAGCUUGGCGGUACGGUAAGUGCGUACCGUGGCUAUGACGGGUAACGGGGAAUCAGGGUUUGAUUCCGGAGAGGGAGCCUGAGAGACGGCUGCCACGUCCAAGGACGGCAGCAGGCGCGAAAAUUACCCAAUGAACAUUGAGGUAGUUACGAGGCAUAUUAGUAUGAGGCGUGUGUAACGCACACGCUGAAGGCGAUUGGAGGGCAAGUCUGGUGCCAGCAGCCGCGGUAAUUCCAGCUCCAAGAGCGUCUGUGUGAUUUGCUGCGGUUAAAAAGUGCGUAGUCUGAUUUAGCGCCUGAUUUUAAGGUGUGUCUUCCUGGCACACAUUAUGCAGGAACGCAGAUCUUGGGACAGGGAUGAGGCGAUGUUAUUCGGCAGCGAGGGGUGAAAACCGAUGACCUGUCGAGGAGCGACAGAGGCGAAAGCGGUCGCCACCCACUGGUCCGACGAUCAAGCACGUGAGCAGGAGUAUCGAAGGCGAUUAGAGACCGUCGUAGUUCCUAGCAGUAAACGAUGCCAACAUUGUGGUACAGCGAGAGUUGUAUUGCGAAAGGGAAACCUAGUGUAUGGGCUCCGGGGAUAGUACGGGCGCAAGCUUGAAACUUGAAGAAAUUGACGGAAGGACACCACAAGGAGUGGAGUGUGCGGGUUAAUUUGACUCAACGCGGGAAAACUUACCGGGGCAGGCGACGCUGUACGAUGGAGUACCAGAUGGUGUCGCGCGUGGUGCAUGGCCGUUCUUAACACGUGGGGUGACCUGUCUGGUUAAAUCCGAUAACGCGUGAGACCCAGGUUUUUAAGACGGUGCCGGUAACGGUGAGGAAGUUCUGGUCGAUAACAGGUCUGUGAUGCCCGUAGAUGUUCCGGGCUCCACGCGCACUACAAUGCUGAGAGUUACGUAAAGUAGAAUCUCGGCGUGGUUGGGAUUGACGCGUGUAAGUGUGUCAUGAACGCGGAAUUCCUAGUAGUUAGUAGUCACUAGCGACUGACGAAUGCGUCCCUGUUCUUUGUACACACCGCCCGUCGUUAUCUAAGAUGGCGGUGCGGAUGAAGACGCUUGCGCGUAAGAAUCCGUGCUGCUAGAUUGGAUACAAGUCGUAA
This 1262-nucleotide ribosomal RNA is filed under the name Andreanna caspii. RNAcentral describes it as "SSU rRNA". It matches the Rfam family "Microsporidia small subunit ribosomal RNA". The record is from RNAcentral. Lineage: Eukaryota; Fungi; Microsporidia; Amblyosporidae.